This 118-nucleotide small nucleolar RNA is filed under the name Echinops telfairi (small Madagascar hedgehog). Its description in RNAcentral is "Small nucleolar RNA SNORA61 (ENSETEG00000025682.1)". The record is from RNAcentral. Lineage: Eukaryota; Metazoa; Chordata; Mammalia; Afrosoricida; Tenrecidae.
ACCCUCCAGAUUCCUUACCCAUCAGACCCACACACGGUCGGAGCGGUCAUUAAAGGGAGAAAAGGGUAGUUGAAACUGACAAACUAUUUUGUGACACACAAGCUAGUUUAAAAGAAAA